Molecule: ribosomal RNA, 265 nt
Filed under: Aeromonas enteropelogenes
Lineage: Bacteria; Pseudomonadati; Pseudomonadota; Gammaproteobacteria; Aeromonadales; Aeromonadaceae
Description: partial 23S ribosomal RNA
Rfam family: Bacterial large subunit ribosomal RNA
Source: RNAcentral
GAGAUAGCUGGUUCUCCCCGAAAGCUAUUUAGGUAGCGCCUCGGACGAAUACUACUGGGGGUAGAGCACUGUUUGGGCUAGGGGGUCAUCCCGACUUACCAACCCCAUGCAAACUCCGAAUACCAGUAAGUAAUAUCCGGGAGACACACGGCGGGUGCUAACGUCCGUCGUGAAGAGGGAAACAACCCAGACCGCCGGCUAAGGUCCCAAAGUUCUGGUUAAGUGGGAAACGAUGUGGGAAGGCUCAGACAGCUAGGAUGUUGGC